AUUUGAUACAUUGGAAGAUAAUAAAGACUGCUAGCUAUUGGAAUGCUUGCUUGGAUGUGGCUAUCUUUAUUCGAUGCCUUGAUCUUCAUGAUGUCUGGAUAUUGCUCAUUUCUUAUUGAUUAUUUCUUGAUCAAAGUCCAAAGGAAAAAGGGUUUCUAUAUGACAUUCUGGUCUGUUGGAUUGAAUCUCAUUGGUCAGAUCUUUUCAACUCUUAACUUUUAAAUUUAUGCUUAGGGUAGUCUCUUCAUCUCCUCCCACUUCUUAAAC
This 267-nucleotide long non-coding RNA is filed under the name Lathyrus oleraceus (garden pea). RNAcentral describes it as "Pisum sativum (pea) long non-coding RNA (PSAT_LNC025399)". The record is from RNAcentral. Lineage: Eukaryota; Viridiplantae; Streptophyta; Magnoliopsida; Fabales; Fabaceae.